GAAGCAUAGUCUCUACAGUACUCCAACUCCAUUCCUUUUCCUUCAGUUUGGCGUCUCUUUGUAUAUCGUUCUUAGGCUUCUUCAUCUUGCUUUCUCUUUGAACAACUCCAUUUAAUGCACUUCUGAACCGGAUCUGUUCAUCUGUGAUAUGUGUGUAAUUAAAGUUAAUUUCUUUGAGAAAUGAAGGAGGGUUCGCAGUCUCAGACAAGGCCCCCGCGGGAAUCGGGGAUUGAUGAAAGAGUGGUUCAAGAAAGAGGAAAUGACAUGGUUUCUGAUUUGUGUGGUGAGGAUCAAAGACAGGCCUUGAAUUCAAAACCUCCAAAUGAGAUGAAGAAGCAGCUAUAUGUUUCGGUUUCAGGUACGUCUUGGAUGCACCUGCAUCGUUUGCAGUCAGCAUCCAAGCGGAAAAGGGAAGCACAUGCCGGUGCUUCUUAAAAAGAUGUUGAUGCUCUCGGUAGGGAUGAAGGAGAUUCAAAUGCUGCAUCGAGAGACCUCAAUUCCCAUCCCUAUUCCGAAGAGAUGCAACCAUAGUGGCAGUGAUAGAUUCAGAAAUUUUAGAUAGUGGAACAAUGUUUAUUU
Molecule: long non-coding RNA, 579 nt
Organism: Cajanus cajan (pigeon pea)
Lineage: Eukaryota; Viridiplantae; Streptophyta; Magnoliopsida; Fabales; Fabaceae
Source: RefSeq, a predicted model, not a curated record